Molecule: long non-coding RNA, 1278 nt
Organism: Quercus robur (English oak)
Lineage: Eukaryota; Viridiplantae; Streptophyta; Magnoliopsida; Fagales; Fagaceae
Exons: 2
Source: RefSeq, a predicted model, not a curated record
AAGUUGGGGCCCCGUGAGAUCGUCUUCGUUAAGCCGAGGCCUAAUUUACAGGUUUGGUCAUUAAAUUAUUCCCUCAAUACAAAUACUUUCAGCUGCCGAAUUCUGUUCCCACAUCAACUACCCUUUAUCUCAACUCUCAAGUAAAGGAUAAAGCGGGCGAGGAUGGAUAAAUCCCACUUUUUUGAAUGGUCGACAACGAAACAAGAAUACACGUAUCAAACACACGCAAAGAGAGUGUGUUAAAGAGACAAAGAAAGCAAGCAAGCGAACCCUCAAAGCUACCAAACUUCCCAUUCCAAUGGCGACUCCUGUUAAAGUGUACGGACCACCCAUAUCCACAGCUGUGUCCAGGGUCCUAGCUUGUCUCUAUGAGAAAAAAAUGAGUUCGAGCUCAUCUCCAUUAACAUGUCCAAGGGCGAGCACAAGAAGCCUGAGUUCCUCAAGCCCCAGAGUCUCAAGUGAUAUGCUGCUACCUUUGUGACAAGUACGCGGACAAAGGGGACAAAGGACUAUACGGAACAAACCCACUGGCAAAAGCAUCCAUAGAUCAGUGGAUAGAAGUAGAAGGGCAGAGUUUCAAUCCACCAAGCUCAACUUUGGUGUUGCUGGAAAAUUGCCUCAAAUUCCAAUUGUGAUUUAAAAAGUCAAUUAGGUUUCCUAGUUAGAGAAGGAAAAAUUAAUUUGAGUUUUCUUGUUGUAGAGGAAAAGACUAUUUCUUGGUAUGGAAGGAAGUCUAUUCCUUGUUAAAGAGGUAAUGUAUUCCUAGUCUACAAGAAAAUAACAAAAGAAUAUUAUAAAUAGACAAUACUACAAAUAAUUUGAUAGUUUUGGCCCAAGGGUCCUCCCUAUGGGGAAAAGAAAAAUAAAGCGUGAAACUAAGAGAGAGAAAAGGGAUUUUUGCUUGGAAGGAAUGCAAGAGGAAGGAGAGUACAAGGUACUACCGCCUUUGAGAAGACAAAAAAUAGUAUGUGCAAGAGUAAAGAAAGAGGAAGCCACACAAGAAAGAAAAAGAAGAGAGAGCCGCUUAGAGAAAAAGAAGACAGCCAACAGAGAGCUAUGUGUGAAGAAGAAAAAAAGAAGGAGAGAGCAAAGUGUUGCCGCCUUUGAAAGAGAUAAUUAGUGUGUGUGUGUGCGUGUGAGCAAAGAAAAGUAAUAGAGAUCUCUUAUUUUCCUUUAGUCAUGAGACAUACACAAGAAUUAUUGUAAUUGAUUUGAUAAUAGUGAAAUUAUUCAAAAUUUGUCCUGUGAUUUUUCACUCCAAAGAGAAAGGGUUUUCCA